Molecule: long non-coding RNA, 905 nt
Organism: Eleginops maclovinus (Patagonian blennie)
Lineage: Eukaryota; Metazoa; Chordata; Actinopteri; Perciformes; Eleginopidae
Exons: 4
Source: RefSeq, a predicted model, not a curated record
CUCCCCAAUCAUGAGUGAGUGCCAAGAGGAAAUACAGGAAUAGUGAGACACAAAAUCUGCCUUUUAUUGUUGGAGCCUCUCAAUGGGAGGAGAAGCAGUGCUCUGAACCACCAUCGGCCCCCAAGGAAGAAGAUCGCUGGAGGUAGGAACAUGUGUACCACCCUGAUGGUCCUCACCACCAUCGCUCUCAUCCUGCGACACCAUUUCUUCAACAAGAUCACACCGCAGAAGGAGACUGUUGAGAAAGACGUGCCAUACAUGAAGAGCAAUGGAGCAACAGAAACCCAAAAAUGAGAGAGAAAGUGAACAUCAAAGGACAUGUCAAGUGUUGGCCAUCAUCUCAAGUGUAGUGAGCAUCAGGGGCCUCUGCUAUCAAGACUUACUUCCGCAGAUACUACGAUAGAGAUUUCCUUGAGAGAUUUCCUGUUAUCAAAUCAAGGUUCCCAACAGGACACUGAAAAACAACACAACCUGUUUUGACAUCUCUCCUGCUGACACGCUCAUUCCUGAAACAGGAAACAGCAACUGAACAAAUUCUUGGAAGAUCAAGCCUGACAAACCCUGUCAUGAAAACUGAAUUUUGUCUUUUCAAAGUUGAUUAAAUGAUCAGGGUAAAAAGUAAAACAACAUUAUGUGCCUCUGCAUAAACAAGCAGUAUUCAUUUCUUAAAUGUUCUUCUGUAUUGCUUGCUUUAAAACAAUGAAUGAUUUUUAUUAAAUGUAUGAGUGAGGACAGGAUUUGACUGGAUGUAUCUUUAAGAGUAGCCUCUCUUGAGAUCUCAUAAGUGACCUGAUUCAUUCUAAAAUAGGGGCUGACGUCCAGUUUUCUAUUGCAUAUGGCAGGAGCCCAGGAUCACUUAAAGGUUAUGAUGAUCUAUCAAGAGAAGCCCACUGAUGAAAUAAAUC